AACGAACGCUGGCGGCAUGCCUAACACAUGCAAGUCGAACGAGACCUUCGGGACUAGUGGCGCACGGGUGCGUAACGCGUGGGAACCUGCACUUAGGUUCGGAAUAACUCUCCGAAGGGGGUGCUAAUGCCGGAUAAUGUCUUCUAACCAAAGAUUUAUCGCCCUUGGAUGGGCCCGCGUUGGAUUAGCUUGUUGGGAGGGUAAAAGCCUACCACGGAGACGAUCCAUAGCUGGGCACAGAGGAAGAUCAGCCACACUGCGAGUGAGCACCGGCCCAGAAUCUUACGGGAGGCAGGAGUGGGUAAUAUUGCACAACGGGGGAAAGGAUGAUGCAGUAAGGCUGGGUGAGUGCUGUAGUCAUGAAAGAAGAAAAGCUCUUUUAUCCGGGAUGAUAAUGACGGUACCGAGAGAAUAAGCACCGGCUAACUCCGUG
RNAcentral lists this ribosomal RNA (433 nucleotides) under uncultured bacterium. RNAcentral's name for it is "partial 16S ribosomal RNA". It matches the Rfam family "Bacterial small subunit ribosomal RNA", at positions 29 to 507 of the family's 1533-position model. The record is from RNAcentral.